RNAcentral lists this non-coding RNA (61 nucleotides) under Sus scrofa (pig). Lineage: Eukaryota; Metazoa; Chordata; Mammalia; Artiodactyla; Suidae. The record is from RNAcentral.
UCCAGGGUGGAAAAGAGCUUGAGUUGUUGGUCAAGGCCAAGCUCUUCUGCUGCCCAGCUCA